RNAcentral lists this ribosomal RNA (158 nucleotides) under Phyllosticta hypoglossi. RNAcentral describes it as "5.8S ribosomal RNA". It matches the Rfam family "5.8S ribosomal RNA". From Rfam's summary of the family: 5.8S ribosomal RNA (5.8S rRNA) is a component of the large subunit of the eukaryotic ribosome. It is transcribed by RNA polymerase I as part of the 45S precursor that also contains 18S and 28S rRNA. Functionally, it is thought that 5.8S rRNA may be involved in ribosome translocation. Lineage: Eukaryota; Fungi; Ascomycota; Dothideomycetes; Botryosphaeriales; Phyllostictaceae. The record is from RNAcentral.
AAACUUUCAACAACGGAUCUCUUGGUUCUGGCAUCGAUGAAGAACGCAGCGAAAUGCGAUAAGUAAUGUGAAUUGCAGAAUUCAGUGAAUCAUCGAAUCUUUGAACGCACAUUGCGCUCUCUGGCAUUCCGGAGGGCAUGCCUGUUCGAGCGUCAUUU